Molecule: unclassified non-coding RNA, 68 nt
Filed under: soil metagenome
Description: partial internal transcribed spacer 1
Source: RNAcentral
UUGAUUUUAAUUAUUUGUGUAGGUACUACUAAUUAACAACAAUUUUAUAAUCAAAACAAAAAAAAUCA